This 80-nucleotide non-coding RNA is filed under the name Compsopogon caeruleus. Lineage: Eukaryota; Rhodophyta; Compsopogonophyceae; Compsopogonales; Compsopogonaceae. The record is from RNAcentral.
UGAUUCCUGCCUUUCUCCGCUUUUCUUUUCUUUUCUUUUUUUUUUUCUUUUUUUUUUGGUUAGUUUGUUUGUUUUUUCUG